UAGGGAAUUUUUCACAAUAAGCGAAAGCUUGAUGGAGCAAUGCCGCGUGAACGAUGAAGGUCUUUAAGAUUGUAAAGUUCUUUUAUUUGGGAAGAAUGACUUUAGCAGGUAAUGGCUAGAGUUUGACUGUACCAUUUUGAAUAAGUGACGACUAACUAUGUGCCAGCAGUCGCGGUAAUACAUAGGUCGCAAGCGUUAUCCGGAUUUAUUGGGCGUAAAGCAAGCGCAGGCGGAUUGAAAAGUCUGGUGUUAAAGGCAGCUGCUUAACAGUUGUAUGCAUUGGAAACUAUUAAUCUAGAGUGUGGUAGGGAGUUUUGGAAUUUCAUGUGGAGCGGUGAAAUGCGUAGAUAUAUGAAGGAACACCAGUGGCGAAGGCGAAAACUUAGGCCAUUACUGACGCUUAGGCUUGAAAGUGUGGGGAGCAAAUAGGAUUAGAUACCCUAGUAGUCCACACCGUAAACGAUAGAUACUAGCUGUCGGGGCGAUCCCCUCGGUAGUGAAGUUAACACAUUAAGUAUCUCGCCUGGGUAGUACAUUCGCAAGAAUG
RNAcentral lists this ribosomal RNA (547 nucleotides) under uncultured bacterium. RNAcentral describes it as "bacterial SSU rRNA". It matches the Rfam family "Bacterial small subunit ribosomal RNA", at positions 355 to 896 of the family's 1533-position model. The record is from RNAcentral.